AGCUAGGGGUGGAAACGAGACGAGCUAGAGCGAGCUUAUGUCAGCUCAAAUUCGGCUUGAAAUUAAUUUCGAGCCUAAAUCUAGGCUCAAGCUCGGCUUGAAAUCAAUUCGAGCCGAGCUCGAGCGAGCCUAAUUUCGAGUCGAGCCGAGCUCGAGCUCUAAACGAGCCGAUUGAAAUUCUUGACAUUAUAUAAUCAAUAGUUUAAUUUUUAUAGAACAUUACCUACAAUUUGAUGCAACAUGUCCAAUAGUUCAAAAUACAAAAUAAUUAUAAGAAAUGUGAGUUAGGGUGACUUCCUGACUAGAUGAGGGUCUGAGAGAGAGAGAGAGAGGAAAAAAAGUAGGGAUUUGGAAAUUUGAAUGUUAUCAUAUUUUAGGGUUAUGUGCAACAGUGAAAGUCUGAAAGAGAGAGUGUGUUAUGUAAAUUUAGAGUUGGGCUCAAUUGUACGAUUAUACUUGUUGGGUUUAUUUUAUGGGCCAACAAUAAUGGCCCAAAUUAAAUUAAAGCCUAUAUAUAAUUAAAAUGGAUUAUAUUUAUAAAUAUCAUCCCCAUGUUGCUAUCACGUUUUUAGCCAUUGGAUCUACUUUUUUAUUACAAAUAGCCCUCGGAUCAAACACUUUUCCACCUACCACCACUUACCAUCAUCAUCUCAACCUCACAUCUCUCCAUCCAAGGGCUAAAAACACACAAGUAUCACUUGGGUGAUACUUGUAAAAGUAUUCAGCCGUUCAAUUUUAGACUACUUGUUUGAUAGGUAAAUGAUAUCGAAAAAUUAUGAAAUUUAGUUUCUAAAUACUUUCAAUAGUGUAGAUCAACUCUACCGGAGCCGAUCGUCGAUUUGGAAGCCACAUCAUCGAAAACAACUUGGUAGCACGGAGCGCUCCGUGCUACCGAUAGUAUAGUAGCCUAGCUCAUAUAUAGUAUGAUAUAUAUAUAUAUAUUAUAUAUAUAUAGUUAGAGUCCAGCUGCUAUACUUUUAUGAGUAUUGGCUCCUUUAUACUCAUAAGUUUUCGACCCUUAGAUUUAUUCAAUUAAUCAUUUUUAUCCAUUAGAGCAUACUAUUUAACCAACUACCACUCAAC
This 1083-nucleotide long non-coding RNA is filed under the name Ananas comosus (pineapple). RNAcentral's name for it is "long non-coding RNA (ACOM_LNC015641)". The record is from RNAcentral. Lineage: Eukaryota; Viridiplantae; Streptophyta; Magnoliopsida; Poales; Bromeliaceae.